CUUGGGACUUUUACUCAGGCUGGGCUCGUCGGUUAGGUCGCUUCAAGCUUUGACCGGAGUCGAGUAAAACAGCAUUGAAGCUACACCCGUAGAAGAGUCAGAAUCCAAAUAUCGGACGGGGGUUCAAUUCCCCCCAUCUCCACCA
Molecule: transfer-messenger RNA, 145 nt
Filed under: Actinomycetota bacterium
Lineage: Bacteria; Bacillati; Actinomycetota
Description: Actinobacteria bacterium partial transfer-messenger RNA
Rfam family: transfer-messenger RNA
About the family: Bacterial tmRNA, also known as 10Sa RNA or SsrA, is named for its dual tRNA and mRNA-like properties. Its role is to liberate the mRNA from a stalled ribosome.
Source: RNAcentral